This 79-nucleotide non-coding RNA is filed under the name Magnetospirillum molischianum. Lineage: Bacteria; Pseudomonadati; Pseudomonadota; Alphaproteobacteria; Rhodospirillales; Rhodospirillaceae. The record is from RNAcentral.
ACUGGUCCCCGUGGUGAUUUGUCCGACCGGAUUGCGGCCACGUUAAAAAAACCGCUAAAGAGGUCCUGCUCCGGUUUCG